Molecule: microRNA precursor, 87 nt
Organism: Poecilia formosa (Amazon molly)
Lineage: Eukaryota; Metazoa; Chordata; Actinopteri; Cyprinodontiformes; Poeciliidae
Source: Ensembl
GUUGCAGACUCUAGCGCCAUUUUAAGAGCUAUAAGUGUGAAUGUUGUCAUAGCUCUUUAAAUGGUACUGCAGUAUGCAUUCAGAUAA